This 70-nucleotide transfer RNA is filed under the name Marmota monax (woodchuck). RNAcentral describes it as "tRNA.Ala". It matches the Rfam family "tRNA". From Rfam's summary of the family: Transfer RNA (tRNA) molecules are approximately 80 nucleotides in length. Their secondary structure includes four short double-helical elements and three loops (D, anti-codon, and T loops). Lineage: Eukaryota; Metazoa; Chordata; Mammalia; Rodentia; Sciuridae. The record is from RNAcentral.
UGGCUGUGGCCCAGUGGUAGGGCGCUCGCCUAGCAAGAGUGAGGCCCUGGUUGGAUUCCUGGCACGGCAG